This 398-nucleotide unclassified non-coding RNA is filed under the name soil metagenome. RNAcentral's name for it is "partial contains 5.8S ribosomal RNA, internal transcribed spacer 2, and large subunit ribosomal RNA". The stretch from base 1 to 120 matches the Rfam family "5.8S ribosomal RNA", at positions 35 to 154 of the family's 154-position model. The record is from RNAcentral.
GAUGAAGAACGUAGCGAAAUGCGAUACUUGGUGUGAAUUGCAGAAUCCCGUGAACCAUCGAGUCUUUGAACGCAAGUUGCGCCCGAAGCCUCGGCUAAGGGCACGUCUGCCUGGACGUCACGCAUCGCGUCUCCCCCAAACCGCCAAGGCGGAGGGGAAGGAAGAUGGCUUCCCGUGCCUCACCCGGCGCGGUUGGCCUAAAUUUGGAGCCCGCGGCACUUAGCUCUCGCGGCGAUAGGUGGUGAACAAGGCCUUGGCCGUGCAAACAACCCGCUGCGAAGCUCUAUGUCACGUGCGCUCGUCGGACCCUUUGAAGUUGCCUUCGGUGACUUAAAACCUUUGUGACCCCAGGUCAGGCGGGGCUACCCGCUGAAUUUAAGCAUAUCAAUAAGCGGAGG